UAGGGAAUCUUCCGCAAUGGGCGAAAGCCUGACGGAGCAACGCCGCGUGAGUGAUGAAGGUCUUCGGAUCGUAAAACUCUGUUAUUAGGGAAGAACAAAUGUGUAAGUAACUAUGCACGUCUUGACGGUACCUAAUCAGAAAGCCACGGCUAACUACGUGCCAGCAGCCGCGGUAAUACGUAGGUGGCAAGCGUUAUCCGGAAUUAUUGGGCGUAAAGCGCGCGUAGGCGGUUUUUUAAGUCUGAUGUGAAAGCCCACGGCUCAACCGUGGAGGGUCAUUGGAACCUGGAAAACUUGAGUGCAGAAGAGGAAAGUGGAAUUCCAUGUGUAGCGGUGAAAUGCGCAGAGAUAUGGAGGAACACCAGUGGCGAAGGCGACUUUCUGGUCUGUAACUGACGCUGAUGUGCGAAAGCGUGGGGAUCAAACAGG
RNAcentral lists this ribosomal RNA (429 nucleotides) under Actinomycetes bacterium. RNAcentral's name for it is "Actinobacteria bacterium partial 16S ribosomal RNA". It matches the Rfam family "Bacterial small subunit ribosomal RNA", at positions 355 to 776 of the family's 1533-position model. Lineage: Bacteria; Bacillati; Actinomycetota; Actinomycetes. The record is from RNAcentral.